AGGCACAGAGGAAGCACCGCAGCACCUAGCUCGACUGCAAGGCCGAAAAGAAAUAUUUUAUCCUCUCUUCCCCCUUCCUGUCUUUUUCCUCAUUGAAUCUUUUCUUUUUCCCUCACAUCGACCAAAAUCCUUUAAGCAGGAAAACAUCCUACAAUAACGAAGUUUACAGAUAAGCAAACAAACCUGAGAGUUAAUUCCUAGAAAACUGUCCCAAUAGAAGUGCUUUAUGCUGAAACAAAGGGAUGCCACAUACGGAGUACGAGUACCAGGAGGGGCUCAAAGUACAGCUGGAAGGGAAGCCAGAAGAGGACACUGAAUUUCCUGUACUGAAGCUACAGAUGGUUGUGAGCCACCAUGCUGGGAACCAAACCUGGGCCUUCUGGAAGAGCAGCCAGUCCUCGUCACCACAGAGCAUCCUACCAGUCCCUCUUGGAAGUAUUCCCUUUAGCAUCCUUUACACUUAUUGCCCCCAACUAGGACCACUUCAGACGGCACGCUGAAGGUCAAUGCAGAACAUGGAUAACCUUGUCUUCUUCGGUGAAUUUUGUUUUCUCCAAUUCAGAAUUAUUUUGGCUAUUGGUCUGUUUCUUCUGCCCUCAGUUCUGUCUGGACUUUUUUUUUUUUUUUUUACUGCUCCAGUGGAUGGAAGGGGACUUUAUUUGGUCCCGGGGUCACAUGCCAGGUAUGACCCCAGCUUUAUUUGACCUUCUUGGGGCGCAGGUUGUUGGUAUGGCCGCACUUCUUGCCGCAGUUGACUGCAUGAGGGUGCAGGCGUGCGUAGCACUUGCGGCAGAUCAUCUUGUCACAGUUGUACUUCUGGGCAAGCUGACGAAGGGAUGGCUCAAUGAUGCCACCGCGCAGACGCAGCACCAGGUGCAAGGUGGACUCUUUCUGGAUGUUGUAGUCGGACAGGGUGCGGCCAUCCUCCAGCUGUUUGCCCGAGAAUAUCAGCCUCUGCUGGUCAGGUGGGAUGCCUUCCUUGUCUUGGAUCUUGGCCUUGACAUUCUUGAUGGUGUCACUGGGCUCGACCUCAAGAGUGAUGGUCUUGCCCGUCAGGGUCUUCACGAAGAUCUGCACGUUGGCGUCUGCCGCUCGGCCACCUCGUUGAAGAGAAAGAGAAAGCCUGUCUGGACUUUUAUCAUGAGGGAGAAUGUUCCACUUUAUAAAAGGCCUUUCUGCCGUCAUUGAUAUGAUCACAGUGGUUAUUUUUAAACUGUCAACUUGACAUAAUCUAAAGUCACCUGGGAGGGAGUCCCAGUGAAAGACUUUCUCGAUUAGGUUGUGAAGGGUUUUCUUGCUUCCAUUCAUUGAGGGUGGGAAGACCUUCUCUGCAUGUGAGAGCUGCCAUUUCCUGGGCUAGUCCAUGGACCAAGUGUAAAAGAGACAGAGGCAGAUGAACACUAGCAAGCAUGCAUUAACUCAUCACUCUCUGCUCCUAACUCUAGAUGUUACAAGACUAACUGCUUCGAGAGCUCUGGCGACCUUGAAGUUGCUGAUAUGAUGGACUCUAACCUGGAGUGGUGAACUGAACAAGCCCUUUCUCCCUUAAGUUGCCCCUCUCAGGGUAUUUUGUCACAGCAAAAGGAAAGAAAACUAAGACGAUUAGCACAUGGAUGCUGUUCUUCGAGCCUUUGAUUGAGUUUCAGAUGUUGAACCAUCCUUGUAAUCUGGGAGUGAAGAUAACUUGAUUAUUGCUAGCAUCUUAAUGUGCUUCUGAGACGUGCUAUUCUUGUACUCAUCAGGCAAUGAUUCUAUAGUUUUCUUUUUGUUGUUGUGCCUUAUCCACUUCUGGUAUCAGGAGAAACUGAACUGAGAGGUGGUUUCUUAGUUUCUUAUAAAUGUCUGAAGCACCCGCAACCUAAUAUUAAUCAAAAUAAAAAAUUUGCUUGCAUUUCUUUCAAAAAAAAAAAAAAAAAAAAA
Molecule: unclassified non-coding RNA, 1920 nt
Filed under: Mus musculus (house mouse)
Lineage: Eukaryota; Metazoa; Chordata; Mammalia; Rodentia; Muridae
Description: A-Uba52-9c antisense RNA
Source: RNAcentral